Molecule: small RNA, 33 nt
Filed under: Arabidopsis thaliana (thale cress)
Lineage: Eukaryota; Viridiplantae; Streptophyta; Magnoliopsida; Brassicales; Brassicaceae
Description: ATSL070520
Source: RNAcentral
GAAAAAGACAAAAAAAGAAGAAGAAAAAAAGCA